AUUGAACGCUGGCGGCAUGCCUUACACAUGCAAGUCGAACGGCAGCGCGGGGCAACCUGGCGGCGAGUGGCGAACGGGUGAGUAAUAUAUCGGAACGUACCCUGGAGUGGGGGAUAACGUAGCGAAAGUUACGCUAAUACCGCAUACGAUCUAAGGAUGAAAGUGGGGGAUCGCAAGACCUCAUGCUCCUGGAGCGGCCGAUAUCUGAUUAGCUAGUUGGUGGGGUAAAGGCCUACCAAGGCAUCGAUCAGUAGCUGGUCUGAGAGGACGACCAGCCACACUGGGACUGAGACACGGCCCAGACUCCUACGGGAGGCAGCAGUGGGGAAUUUUGGACAAUGGGGGCAACCUGAUCCAGCAAUGCCGCGUGAGUGAAGAAGG
RNAcentral lists this ribosomal RNA (381 nucleotides) under uncultured bacterium. Its description in RNAcentral is "bacterial SSU rRNA". It matches the Rfam family "Bacterial small subunit ribosomal RNA", at positions 30 to 414 of the family's 1533-position model. The record is from RNAcentral.